RNAcentral lists this ribosomal RNA (780 nucleotides) under uncultured Actinomycetes bacterium. RNAcentral's name for it is "bacterial SSU rRNA". It matches the Rfam family "Bacterial small subunit ribosomal RNA", at positions 567 to 1347 of the family's 1533-position model. Lineage: Bacteria; Bacillati; Actinomycetota; Actinomycetes. The record is from RNAcentral.
GCUUGUAGGCGGUCUGUCGCGUCUGCUGUGAAAAUCCGGGGCUCAACCCCGGACUUGCAGUGGGUACGGGCAGACUAGAGUGUGGUAGGGGAGACUGGAAUUCCUGGUGUAGCGGUGAAAUGCGCAGAUAUCAGGAGGAACACCGAUGGCGAAGGCAGGUCUCUGGGCCACUACUGACGCUGAGAAGCGAAAGCAUGGGGAGCGAACAGGAUUAGAUACCCUGGUAGUCCAUGCCGUAAACGUUGGGAACUAGGUGUGGGUCUCAUUCCACGAGAUCCGUGCCGCAGCUAACGCAUUAAGUUCCCCGCCUGGGGAGUACGGCCGCAAGGCUAAAACUCAAAGGAAUUGACGGGGGCCCGCACAAGCGGCGGAGCAUGCGGAUUAAUUCGAUGCAACGCGAAGAACCUUACCAAGGCUUGACAUAUACCGGAAACACUCAGAGAUGGGUGCCCCGCAAGGUCGGUAUACAGGUGGUGCAUGGUUGUCGUCAGCUCGUGUCGUGAGAUGUUGGGUUAAGUCCCGCAACGAGCGCAACCCUCGUUCUAUGUUGCCAGCGGGUCAUGCCGGGGACUCAUAGAAGACUGCCGGGGUCAACUCGGAGGAAGGUGGGGAUGACGUCAAAUCAUCAUGCCCCUUAUGUCUUGGGCUUCACGCAUGCUACAAUGGCCGGUACAAAGGGCUGCGAUACCGUAAGGUGGAGCGAAUCCCAAAAAACCGGUCUCAGUUCGGAUUGGGGUCUGCAACUCGACCCCAUGAAGUCGGAGUCGCUAGUAAUCGCAG